Molecule: unclassified non-coding RNA, 263 nt
Filed under: Hevea brasiliensis (rubber tree)
Lineage: Eukaryota; Viridiplantae; Streptophyta; Magnoliopsida; Malpighiales; Euphorbiaceae
Source: RNAcentral
UCUGACGUUGGUGGUGGUCCUGAGCCUCACCUUAUACACCUUCUGGGCAGCGAGGAGAGGCCAGGACUUCAACUUUCUUGGACCCUUCCUGUUUGCAGCUAUUAUGAUCCUCAUGGUGUUCGGCCUCAUACAGGUCUUCAUACCAAUGGGGAAGGUGUCUACCAUGGUGUAUGGAGCUUUAGGAGCAAUCAUAUUCUGUGGCUAUAUCAUCUAUGACACCGACAAUUUGAUAAAGAGAUACACGUACGACGAGUAUAUUUGGG